CAAAACCAAGCUACUGGACAAAGUUUCACAAAUCAAGGAAUCUGGAAAGGAAGGCAAAUCAUGUCAAGAAGGAAGAAGAUCAUGAACAUAUAUGAUAUGGACGUGAUCACAAUCUACCCUAAAUCAGACUCGGUCAAGGAAUUCACUACAAAUCCUUGAUUGAAUGAAAUACCCAUGGGUUUUUCCUUAUAAGAGCAAAGAGCUAGAUCAUACAAACUAGACUUAGGAUUAGAGGAAGUCCACGCACUUCACUCUAUUGUAUUAUCUUUCUUUCAUCCUUCAUAAAACAUUUGUACCUGUGUAUGAAACUAUGAUUUUGGAUUUGCCGGAUGACUUGUUUAUCAAAUUAAUGCUCCUAAGAUUUAUGGACCUUUCUUGGACAAAGAUAAAACGGUUGCCAGAUUCUAUUUGUGCAUUGUAUAACUUGGAGACACUCCUCUUGUCAUGUUGUUAUUGUCUUGAGGAGCUACCGCUGCAGAAGGUUGAUUAAGUUUGUUGAAGUUUGCUUUUAGUUAUUGCAGUAACUUUUAGCAAUAAGUUAUUUAGUUUGAAUAAAUUUGAAUUUUGAAUUUUGAAUUUUAGUUUGUUUGUUUAUGUUGUUGAGAUAUUUUAGGUUUAAAUUUUAAAUUAUGCAGAUUAUGUGUUUUAUGUUGGCUAUUUAAAGCCCCUCAAUGCUUAAUAAAAUUAUUGAAAUCUAUUGAAAGUCAUUUCAAUCCAUUGAGAGAAAUUUUCAAUCUUUUUUGCCCCAUUUUUAAAAAACACCAACAGUGGUAUCAAGAGCUUCAUUGAUCUUAAGGGAUUUGUGAAAUCUUUCAAAGAACUACCAUACAUUUUUAACCCAUAAGGGCUACCUUUUUAACCCAUCAAGGCUACCUUUUCAACCGGUGCUUUUUUCAACGCAUAUGCUUUUCUAUAGGAAGGCAAAUCAUGUCAAGAAGGAAGAAGAUCAUGAACAUAUAUGAUAUGGACGUGAUCACAAUCUACCCUAAAUCAGACUCGGUCAAGGAAUUCACUACAAAUCCUUGAUUGAAUGAAAUACCCAUGGGUUUUUCCUUAUAAGAGCAAAGAGCUAGAUCAUACAAACUAGACUUAGGAUUAGAGGAAGUCCACGCACUUCACUCUAUUGUAUUAUCUUUCUUUCAUCCUUCAUAAAACAUUUGUACCUGUGUAUGAAACUAUGAUUUUGGAUUUGCCGGAUGACUUGUUUAUCAAAUUAAUGCUCCUAAGAUUUAUGGACCUUUCUUGGACAAAGAUAAAACGGUUGCCAGAUUCUAUUUGUGCAUUGUAUAACUUGGAGACACUCCUCUUGUCAUGUUGUUAUUGUCUUGAGGAGCUACCGCUGCAGAAGGUUGAUUAAGUUUGUUGAAGUUUGCUUUUAGUUAUUGCAGUAACUUUUAGCAAUAAGUUAUUUAGUUUGAAUAAAUUUGAAAUUUGAAAUUUAGUUAGGUUGUUUAAG
Molecule: long non-coding RNA, 1456 nt
Filed under: Solanum tuberosum (potato)
Lineage: Eukaryota; Viridiplantae; Streptophyta; Magnoliopsida; Solanales; Solanaceae
Description: long non-coding RNA (STUB_LNC008123)
Source: RNAcentral